GGGUGACUAGUAUAGUGGUCAGUACACUUCGUUGCGGUGCUCGUUGCAGGAAGUAUGCAUGCAGGGAGGAGUGACAUGUCCGAAGAAACCCAGGCUCGAUUCCUGGGUUGCCCA
Non-coding RNA from Schizothecium vesticola, 114 nucleotides. The record is from the annotation of a GenBank genome assembly. Lineage: Eukaryota; Fungi; Ascomycota; Sordariomycetes; Sordariales; Schizotheciaceae.